Magnolia sinica is the source of this 412-nucleotide long non-coding RNA. RefSeq lists it as uncharacterized. The record is from RefSeq and is a predicted model, not a curated record. NCBI's taxonomy places the organism in Eukaryota, Viridiplantae, Streptophyta, Magnoliopsida, Magnoliales, Magnoliaceae. The transcript is spliced from 3 exons.
GAUAAAUUCGACUUAGAUUUGAGUGUUCUGCACAUUUCCCAUGCCGUCGACGACAUGGUCAAGAAGCGAUUCAACGAGUACCGCAGUGACUUACACAAGCAGUACAAGCGGUGCAUGAGCCACGAGGAGGCCGUACAGUCCGCACCGCCGUACAUGACCCAUGACAACUAGCGGAUACUCUGUGAUAGAUUUUUGUCUGAUUCUUUUUAGGAGAGGAGCAAAAUAAAUUCUAACAACAGGAGAAAGUUAGAAGUGAACCACGUGGGUGGUUCAAAGUCAUUUGUACGACUUUGUCACGACAUGCGAGAUUCCAUCACUGGCCAGGAGCCCGGACCAGUAGACCUCUACAAAGGGACUCACUGUCGGCAGGCAACAGGAGCUUGGGUACAUCCUAGAGCCAACGAGAAUUAGG